This 479-nucleotide ribosomal RNA is filed under the name uncultured bacterium. RNAcentral describes it as "SSU rRNA". It matches the Rfam family "Bacterial small subunit ribosomal RNA", at positions 26 to 523 of the family's 1533-position model. The record is from RNAcentral.
AGGAUGAACGCUGGCGGCGUGCCUAACACAUGCAAGUCGAACGUCCUGUCUCGCAAGAGGCAGGGAGUGGCGGACGGGUGAGUACCACGUGGGUUAUCUACCGUGAGGUGAGGAAUACCGGCGAGAAAUCGCCGACAAGACCGCAUAGCCUCGGUGCAAGCCGAGGAAAGCUUUCUCGAGAGAGGGAGCGCCACACGAGGAGCCUGCGCCCGAUUAGCUAGCUGGUGGAGUAACGGUUCACCAGGGCGACGAUCGGUAGCUGGUCUGAGAGGACGAUCAGCCACACUGGGAUUGAGAACGGCCCAGACUCCUACGGGGGGCAGCAGUGAGGAAUUUUCGUCAAUGGGGGCAACCCUGAACGAGCAACGCCGCGUGCAGGAAGAAGGUUUUCGGAUCGUAAACUGCUUUUCGUCGGGGAAGAGAACGGACGGUACCCGAGGAAUCAGCCCCGGCUAACUACGUGCCAGCAGCCGCGGUAA